RNAcentral lists this long non-coding RNA (938 nucleotides) under Phoenix dactylifera (date palm). RNAcentral describes it as "long non-coding RNA (PDAC_LNC016829)". The record is from RNAcentral. Lineage: Eukaryota; Viridiplantae; Streptophyta; Magnoliopsida; Arecales; Arecaceae.
CUCUUCUUCUUUCUUCUUCCUUCCCCGAAGCUUCUCCCUUUCUUCUUCCAUUUCCACCGCGAUCUCCUCCCCCCUCUUCUUCUCCUCUCCUCUCAUGAGGCAAGGAGGCUCGGGAGGGACGGGCAACGGCCGACGGCGCCCGGCACCCGGCCUACAGCGCCCACGGUCGCGCCCACGACCGUGCCUGCGGUCGUGCCCAUGGCCGCGUCGGCGUCCCACAUCCCACGGCCGACGACCCGCGGCUCGCAUCCCACGGCCAACGACCCACGGCGGAGGUCGGCGCCCACGGAUCGACCACCAAAUGUCACGCCCCCGCCUCUGCGAGGCACGUGAGGCACCUAGUGCCCACGUGGGAGCCACAUGAGGGGGGAACACGGGGCUCCCCUGCCAGAUAUUGUCCGGUUCUGAGGCUUCACGCAAGCGUCCUUCACCCCUCCUCGGUUUUGUUUUCUACCCAAAACGCGUCUGCAGGAUUAGGAGACACCCGCCUCGUAUGCCCAGGCUCUAGAAUGAGUCUUUCCGAUGUGGGACUAUUGGGCCUCACAAUAAGAGUCAGGAAUUUAACAUUUUUACGUAGUGUCUGGAUGAUUUUGAUAUCAUAUGUUGAUUGAAAUAUGUGUUCGUACUCCAAGAUAUACUUCCUGUCGAUAAUCUUUCAGCUGUCUAAACGUUUUAGGGGGGAACUAAUUUUAUGGUGAUGGCAUUUUGUUCUUUCGCAGGUUAAUAGUCUAAGACAGGAGCGGCAAAUUUUGGCCUCAUGCAGAUCCGUUACAAUUGUGACUGGUGCAAGUUCACUGAAAGAUCGGCACAGAACCCCCUCCCUCUUUUUCAGAUGAUGCUUGUUAAUAUGCAAGUAUUCUGUAUUUUGUUUGCAAGAUUUGGAGUCCAUGUUUAUAAGUUUUGGAUAUCCAGAUGUUUAUGAGCAUGACAGUUCUUUU